RNAcentral lists this ribosomal RNA (473 nucleotides) under uncultured Sphingobacteriales bacterium. Its description in RNAcentral is "bacterial SSU rRNA". It matches the Rfam family "Bacterial small subunit ribosomal RNA", at positions 910 to 1382 of the family's 1533-position model. Lineage: Bacteria; Pseudomonadati; Bacteroidota; Sphingobacteriia; Sphingobacteriales. The record is from RNAcentral.
UUGACGGGGGCCCGCACAAGCGGAGGAACAUGUGGUUUAAUUCGAUGAUACGCGAGGAACCUUACCUGGGCUUAAAUGCAGAGUGCAUGAAGUGGAAACACUUCUUCCCUUCGGGGCUCUUUGCAAGGUGCUGCAUGGUUGUCGUCAGCUCGUGCCGUGAGGUGUCGGGUUAAGUCCCAUAACGAGCGCAACCCUUAUCGUUAGUUGCCAGCGGGUAAAGCCGGGAACUCUAGCGAAACUGCCGGUGUAAACCGAGAGGAAGGUGGGGAUGACGUCAAAUCAGCACGGCCCUUAUGUCCAGGGCUACACACGUGUUACAAUGGCCGGUACAGAGGGCAGCUACCUGGAGACAGGAUGCGAAUCUCGAAAGCCGGUCUCAGUUCGGAUCGGAGUCUGCAACUCGACUCCGUGAAGCUGGAUUCGCUAGUAAUCGCGCAUCAGCCAUGGCGCGGUCGAAUACGUUCCCGGGCCUU